CCAGAUGAUGGACAGUAAAGAGAUGGCAGCAAAUGAAGUUCAAUUCAACAACAAAGUGUGGAAACACCCAAAGCUCUCACUGUUCAACCAGCAAACCGCUCUCACCUCGUAGCAUCAAACAACAAACCAAGGAUCUGAUCAUGAAGUUUACAACAAACUGGUGAAGAAAAUGGAGCAGCUAAAGAUCUCCUUCAAUGUGAAUGUGGAGACCAAAACCGAGCUACAACGGACCAUUUUAGUGAAGGUACCAGAAACACGAGUCCAGAUGAAGAGAUGCGCUCUUGUCUCCAGAAGAGAGAUGGGCUUCCAUAUGACCAUGGAGGCUAAAGCUGUGGUUCUCUGGUCACUCAUUGGUCCCAUAGAGGUGGUGAUGGAGCAGCAGGACCGGGUCUAGCAGCUCCAGGCCCGGGUCUACCAGCUCCAGGCCCGGGUCUACCAGCUCCAGGCCCGGGUCUAGCAGCUCCAGGCCCAGGUUUCCAGCUCCAGGCCCGGGUCUAGCACCUCCAGGACCAGGUCUACCAGCUCCAGGCCCGGGUUUCCAG
Molecule: long non-coding RNA, 542 nt
Organism: Amphiprion ocellaris (clown anemonefish)
Lineage: Eukaryota; Metazoa; Chordata; Actinopteri; Pomacentridae
Source: Ensembl